Non-coding RNA from Podarcis lilfordi (Lilford's wall lizard), 111 nucleotides. Lineage: Eukaryota; Metazoa; Chordata; Lepidosauria; Squamata; Lacertidae. The record is from the annotation of a GenBank genome assembly.
AGAAAUGGAAGGGGCUCCGUUUCUCCUCCCGCUUAGCUCUUGGCAGCUCUCCCUCUCUGUGCAGCACCCCUUCAGUGAAGCGGGAGGAGAAACGGGGCCCCUUCUAUUUCU